Molecule: ribosomal RNA, 1003 nt
Filed under: Paraburkholderia sediminicola
Lineage: Bacteria; Pseudomonadati; Pseudomonadota; Betaproteobacteria; Burkholderiales; Burkholderiaceae
Description: bacterial SSU rRNA
Rfam family: Bacterial small subunit ribosomal RNA
Source: RNAcentral
GAACGGCAGCACGGGGGCAACCCUGGUGGCGAGUGGCGAACGGGUGAGUAAUACAUCGGAACGUGUCCUGUAGUGGGGGAUAGCCCGGCGAAAGCCGGAUUAAUACCGCAUACGCUCUACGGAGGAAAGGGGGGGAUCUCAGGACCUCCCGCUACAGGGGCGGCCGAUGGCAGAUUAGCUAGUUGGUGGGGUAAAGGCCUACCAAGGCGACGAUCUGUAGCUGGUCUGAGAGGACGACCAGCCACACUGGGACUGAGACACGGCCCAGACUCCUACGGGAGGCAGCAGUGGGGAAUUUUGGACAAUGGGCGAAAGCCUGAUCCAGCAAUGCCGCGUGUGUGAAGAAGGCCUUCGGGUUGUAAAGCACUUUUGUCCGGAAAGAAAACCUCCGCCCUAAUAUGGUGGGGGGAUGACGGUACCGGAAGAAUAAGCACCGGCUAACUACGUGCCAGCAGCCGCGGUAAUACGUAGGGUGCAAGCGUUAAUCGGAAUUACUGGGCGUAAAGCGUGCGCAGGCGGUCCGCUAAGACAGAUGUGAAAUCCCCGGGCUUAACCUGGGAACUGCAUUUGUGACUGGCGGGCUAGAGUAUGGCAGAGGGGGGUAGAAUUCCACGUGUAGCAGUGAAAUGCGUAGAGAUGUGGAGGAAUACCGAUGGCGAAGGCAGCCCCCUGGGCCAAUACUGACGCUCAUGCACGAAAGCGUGGGGAGCAAACAGGAUUAGAUACCCUGGUAGUCCACGCCCUAAACGAUGUCAACUAGUUGUUGGGGAUUCAUUUCCUUAGUAACGUAGCUAACGCGUGAAGUUGACCGCCUGGGGAGUACGGUCGCAAGAUUAAAACUCAAAGGAAUUGACGGGGACCCGCACAAGCGGUGGAUGAUGUGGAUUAAUUCGAUGCAACGCGAAAAACCUUACCUACCCUUGACAUGUAUGGAACCCUGCUGAGAGGUGGGGGUGCCCGAAAGGGAGCCAUAACACAGGUGCUGCAUGGCUGUCGUCAGCUC